RNAcentral lists this non-coding RNA (785 nucleotides) under Dyscolus arauzae. Lineage: Eukaryota; Metazoa; Arthropoda; Insecta; Coleoptera; Carabidae. The record is from RNAcentral.
AUAAAGUUUAAUUCUAGUUUAAAGGUUUAUUUAAUUUUUUUUUUACAUGUAAAUUUUUGUAUGGAUAUUAAUUAGAUUUUAAGAAUUUAAUUAAAAUAAUUUAUUCGCAGUAUUUAAUUUUAAUAAUUUAAGAAAUUAAGAAUUAGAAAUAAAUUUUAAUAUUAACAAAUUUUGUGCCAGCAGUUGCGGUUAUACAAAAGAUGUGAAUAAAUUUUAUUAGUAAAUAAUUAUAUGAAUUAUUGAUAAAUUAAAAUAGUAUUUAUUAGGUGAAAUUUUAAAUAUUAAAUUAAUUUAUAAAAAAGUUUUUAUUAUUAUGAAAUUUAUAUUUAAACUAGGAUUAGAUACCCUAUUAUUUUAAAUGUAAAAAGUUUUACUUAAGUAGUAUUAGUUAUGUUCUUGAAAUUUAAAGAUUUUGGCGGUAUUUUAGUCUAUUUAGAGGAACCUGUUCUGUAAUUGAUAAUCCACGAUUAACUUUACUUAUUUUAUAAAUUUGUAUACCGUCGUUAUUAGAAAAUUUUAGCAGAAAAUAAAUUUUUAAUAUUUUAAAUUAAAAAAUAUAUCAGAUCAAGGUGCAGUAUAUAUCUAAGAAGAAAUGGGUUACAAUAAAUUUAUUUAUAUGGAUUAAAGUAAGAAUAAACUUUAUGAAGGUGGAUUUAAUAGUAAUAAAAUUUAAUUAAAUUUUAUGAUUUUAGCUCUAAAAUAUGUACAUAUCGCCCGUCGCUCUUAUUCUAAGGUAAGAUAAGUCGUAACAUAGUAGAUGUACUGGAAAGUGUAUCUAGAAUGAA